AUUGAACGCUGGCGGCAGGCUUAACACAUGCAAGUCGAGCGGGGGAAGGUAGCUUGCUACCGGACCCAGCGGCGGACGGGUGAGUAAUGCUUAGGAAUCUGCCUAUUAGUGGGGGACAACAUCUCGAAAGGGAUGCUAAUACCGCAUACGUCCUACGGGAGAAAGCAGGGGAUCUUCGGACCUUGCGCUAAUAGAUGAGCCUAAGUCGGAUUAGCUAGUUGGUGGGGUAAAGGCCUACCAAGGCGACGAUCUGUAGCGGGUCUGAGAGGAUGAUCCGCCACACUGGGACUGAGACACGGCCCAGACUCCUACGGCAGGCUGCAGUGGGGAAUAUUGGACAAUGGCGGGAACCCUGAUCCAGCCAUGCCGCGUGUGUGAAGAAGGCCUUAUGGUUGUAAAGCACUUUAAGCGAGGAGGAGGCUACUCUAGUUAAUACCUAGGGAUAGUGGACGUUACUCGCAGAAUAAGCACCGGCUAACUCUGUGCCAGCCGCCGCCGUAA
Molecule: ribosomal RNA, 501 nt
Filed under: uncultured bacterium
Lineage: Bacteria
Description: partial 16S ribosomal RNA
Rfam family: Bacterial small subunit ribosomal RNA
Source: RNAcentral